RNAcentral lists this ribosomal RNA (253 nucleotides) under uncultured bacterium. RNAcentral describes it as "partial 16S ribosomal RNA". It matches the Rfam family "Bacterial small subunit ribosomal RNA", at positions 524 to 776 of the family's 1533-position model. The record is from RNAcentral.
UACAUGGGGUGCAAACGUUGCUCGGAAUCAUUGGGCGUAAAGCGCGCGUAGGCGGUUGCUUAAGUCGGAUGUGAAAGCCCUCGGCUUAACUGAGGAAGUGCAUCCGAAACUGAGCAGCUAGAGUACGAAAGAGGGUCGCGGAAUUCCCGGUGUAGCGGUGAAAUGCGUAGAGAUCGGGAGGAACACCAGUGGCGAAGGCGGCUACCUGGACCAGCACUGACACUGAGGCACGAAAGCGUGGGGAGCAAACAGG